AGCUCGACUUCCUCCCGACUCCGAGAGGCGGCGAGUCCACCCACUGGCGCGGUAACUCCCCUUGCUCGCCCCGGGAAAUGGCCCGCAGUUUGGCUGAGACGGGUGGGACACCCAAGGGACCAAUACCACCUUCCAUAAGAUGGGAUUCGAACCUAAAACUCGUUCCUAACGGCCUAGGUGCAAGAGCUACCCCUCCCUGAACUACGACUUCCUCAGGUUUCAGAGCGGACAGCUCCACGGCCCAGAAAGAGACGCAGGGAGGAGCCCAGCUUCCGCCUCGAAAGGGACUCUGGGACACUGGGCGGGCCCAGGAACGCAGUGUUCUUGGGAAAUGUGGUCCACAGCCUCCGCUGCGCAGGCGCCGUGGCCCUGCUCCACACGCGCACGGCUGAAGACCCCUAUCUCCGAGAGCGCGCACGCACCCUUCCGGGGUACGAGAAGGCGUGGCGGAUGCUGAGGCAGGCCCUACCGGUCUCGGUGGCGGUGUUGUGGUGAAGGCGGCCGGGUUUAUUUAAGGCUGACUACGAAUUUAAGUGGGAGAGACAUGCAGUUUGUAAGAUCUUCCCACCCCAAGGGGGAGAUCGGCAGCGGAAUGUGUCGCGCGCUGCCUUGGGUGCGCACCCACACACUGGCAAUAAUAAAUGCUUGCUUUAUUCCUUUAUUUAACAUCUUUCAAAUUAAUAAUUUGUUCCCUAGGAUACUCAAACUGACCAAUGAGGUUUUGUUUAUUUAGUUGUUUAUUUGCUUGCUUCUUAAGUGUUGUUAUAUAACAAAUUCAUGUGACGUGUGUUUCAAAUCCUUGUAGUUAUUAUUCCUAUUGAUACUCAAAUUGUUCCGUCUUUGACCUGUGGAAGCCUUUUUAGGUUGAUUCCUGAGGCCUUUAACAUCACCCUAGUUGUCAAUACUUCUUUGUUUUCUGAAAUGAUAAGGUAUACGAGGUUCAACUGGCACACUUCUUUCCCCAUACCUAGAUUUAAUGAUUUCUUCAGGAGGCCCUGGUUCCUUUUGGUGGGAGAUGGUAUUUACAAACCACAAUCUAGGUGCAAGGGCUACUCAUCAGUGUUGAAUAGUGAUGUGUCUAGACCUCUCCCAAAUAGAGCUACAGUUCAAACCGAUACUCCCAAUUCAAAUUCAAGCAACAGGAUUUUUACUUAACCUCAUCAGUCUUAUAUCUGUAUCUCUAUUCUCCAAUGUUGGAAACCCAAAUAUUAUCAGUUAUGCCAAUAUAAUUACUCAUUUACUUUAUCAAACAAUACACACAUUUUUAAAAAUUUCAGAACAAUUAUAAUAGUACCACCACCAUUAUUAUGGAAAAGUUUAAGAUUUUUUAAAAAUUAUUUUUGUCCUUAGAGUAUACCCUACUAGAGAUGUACAGUCAAGUCAAUGAAACUUAAAGUAACUUGGAAUAAUUUUUCUCUGGGUGUUAUAACACCAACUCCACAGUGUAGUAGACCAUAUGAUGGCCCCCAAAGAUAUCCAGGUCCUAAUCCUUAGAACUUGUGAAUGUUACUUUAUAAUGUCAGAAUGGAUUUUAGGUGUGCAUAAUUAGGGAUCUUGAGAUGGGGAGGUUAUCCUGUUUUUCCUGGGGAGCUCUGUAUGAAAUUACAAAUGCCUUAUAAGAGACAGGCAGAAGAAAAUUUAACAGGGGAGAAGAUGAUAAUGUGACCACAGAGGCACAUAUUGGAGUGAUGCAGUCAUUAACCAAGAAAUGCCAGUAAUCAGAAACCGG
This 1729-nucleotide long non-coding RNA is filed under the name Homo sapiens (human). RNAcentral's name for it is "non-protein coding lnc-ZNF287-1:2". The record is from RNAcentral. Lineage: Eukaryota; Metazoa; Chordata; Mammalia; Primates; Hominidae.